Callorhinus ursinus (northern fur seal) is the source of this 2070-nucleotide long non-coding RNA. RefSeq lists it as uncharacterized. The record is from RefSeq and is a predicted model, not a curated record. NCBI's taxonomy places the organism in Eukaryota, Metazoa, Chordata, Mammalia, Carnivora, Otariidae.
AGAACCGGCCCGGCUGACACUGGAAUUUCCACUAGGACUCGACAUGGAACUACUUGGUGCUUCUUUCAAUGGCCCGGUCCCAUUUAAGUGAGGUUUCCCACACCUAGGAACACCACCUCCUCUCGUCUGUCCCUGACCACCAUAAACCUUUCAUGGGCCCGUGUUUUCUGGUAAGUAAUCAACAACUAUUUCUGUCCGAGAACAAAUUCUUUCUGCUCCUAUCUGAAAGAAAAGAACAGGCCCCUUGGGCACAGAGUCACAUAUGUUUUCCUUGGCUGGGUUUCUUGGAAGCCCGCUGCUCUACAGGUGGAAGAAAGUGCCAGCUUGUGGGGAAUGACCACUGGCCAAGGGAGACGGGGGGCACGGGCAGACACAGAGCUGCUCUGGGCGCCGUUCCCCCCGCUCCAUGUCCCCUCUGAAUCUUACUCAUGAACUGUUCUGCUCCAGACUCCACCUCUGCUGCUCUAUCCUAGAGGGGCAAACUGGUGGCCGUGGGUGAGAUCUCAUUCACAGAGGGGUUCUGCACGGCCUUCACAGUUUUCUUAAAUACCUGAAUUAGUUGCUAUCUUAACACUAGAAGGUUUCACAUGAAGGAAAACAAAAAACCUUGAAAAAAAUCAGUCUUAGCCGCGCCUCUACACAGGGCACAUGCUCUCCAGCGGCCCAGGGUCCUGAUGUCACUAUUAAGCAGGGUCCAGUGCAGGAGCCCAUUCCCUGCCCAGCUCCCAGAGGCAUUUGAUUUCUGACUCCAGCUGGAACCAAACACUGUCCAAUGUCCAUAAAAAACAGCACAGAAUAGACCAUCUGCUGAUUCAAAACAAAUCACACUCGAGUGGAAAGGCUGUUACAGCACUAUGGUAUGGAGGGGGGGGCUGCUUCCACACACGGACAGGUUGUCCAUAAUCACUGCAUAAGGCCAGCGGAUGUCCGGCCUUCCCUCCUGAAGCCCUGUGUGUCACGUGACCCAGCCAUCCCACCAAUUCUUCCGGAGAGGCCAGCAGGAGGUGCAUCUGACCCGCUGGAUGGGAGACAGGACACAUCACACUACUGAAAGGACUACAUGGACACACUGAAAAUAUGCUUUCUGGAAACACAGCAAUGAAUCAUCAGUACUAGAGGUUUCCAGCAGAUACCACCCUGAAUCCUGGGUGAGAACCGGAUGAGCGAGCAAGAGCCUUAACUGCGCUGGGAGAAAGCGAGCCCCACUCCAUCACCGCCUCUCCUAACAAGGAGUCCAUGAAAACGCUGCUCACCACGUGUGUCCCCUGGGCCACACAAGGCGCAGCAGCUACCACGGGCCGUCCCCCGCAAACCUUCCCAGUCAUGGAGCACCGAGCCUCCCCAGGGCAGAGGUGCGCGCCUCUCAAGAGUGUAAACCUGUAGACACUGAGCACUCCGGCCCCGGGAGCACGGAGACCCUGUGUCCUCCCACACAGCACAGAAGCUAACAGGAGUCUCGUGGGGGACAGGGGGGUGUUCCUGAGACACCCCCAACCCCGACGCAAGCCACCCCACCGCCACAUCCUCUUACUUGCUGCACUUAUAAGAGUUUUCCCCGUCGAGCUGCUCCGGCUUCACAAACUGCUCCAAUGCCUUGUUCACACUCUGAGCGGCCUGCAAGAGAAGGACAGCGUCAGCACCACGGGCCCUCUCACUGCCCCUGACCGAAGGAAGAAGAGACGACUCAAAGGUCUAGACGCCAAUAUGAAUUUUUAUGUAGAAGGAAAUUUCUCUUUUAUUACGAUGUUGACUUUUAUACAUGUACCCAUCCAAUUAUUGUCCCCUUGUUAAAAACCAUGCAGAUCAAAGUGAACGACCUGUAAAAAGUUCCUCACUGCAGCAUUUUCAAAAAGAGCAUAAAACUGGAAACAAACCAAAUACCCAUCAGCAAGGAAAGGGGCAUGUGCAUGGUGGUGCUCAUGCUCAGGGGGCCGCCACAUGACUGUCAAGGUCCGGGCGCACAGAGAAGCCACCGAGCAGAACUACGGGAAAGGUGGCAAGUGGCUAAACAGGCCUAAGGUGUAAUCACAUUUUUAUAAGCAAUAAAUAAUGGGUUCUGGAACAGUCUCU